AUACGUAGGGGGCGAGCGUUGUCCGGAAUGACUGGGCGUAAAGGGCGUGUAGGCGGCGGUGUAAGUCUGGAGUGAAAGUCCCGCAUUCAAUGUGGGAAUUGCUUUGGAUACUGCAGUGCUAGAGUGCGGAAGAGGUAAGUGGAAUUCCCAGUGUAGCGGUGAAAUGCGUAGAGAUUGGGAGGAACACCAGUGGCGAAGGCGACUUUCUGGCUGACAACUGACGCUGAGGCGCGAAAGCACGGGGAGCAAACAGGAUUAGAUACCCUGGUAGUCCGUGCCGUAAACGAUGAAUACUAGGUGUAGGGGGUAUCGACUCCCUCUGUGCCGCAGUUAACACAUUAAGUAUUCCACCUGGGGAGUACGGCCGCAAGGUUGAAACUCAAAGGAAUUGACGGGG
RNAcentral lists this ribosomal RNA (397 nucleotides) under uncultured bacterium. Its description in RNAcentral is "partial 16S ribosomal RNA". It matches the Rfam family "Bacterial small subunit ribosomal RNA", at positions 523 to 918 of the family's 1533-position model. The record is from RNAcentral.